ACAUACCACUUGUAUGCUCCGGUUCUUGUGCUCCGAUUGCACCCGACCUGUUAUCGCUCGCUACGUUUUUUCGUAGCAGCU
RNAcentral lists this small RNA (81 nucleotides) under Betaproteobacteria bacterium HGW-Betaproteobacteria-2. Its description in RNAcentral is "sX9 sRNA". It matches the Rfam family "Xanthomonas sRNA sX9". Lineage: Bacteria; Pseudomonadati; Pseudomonadota; Betaproteobacteria. The record is from RNAcentral.